CCUACGGGUGGCAGCAGUGAGGAAUAUUGGUCAAUGGACGAGAGUCUGAACCAGCCAAGUAGCGUGAAGGAUGACUGCCCUAUGGGUUGUAAACUUCUUUUAUAGGGGAAUAAAACAGGGUAUGCAUACCCUCUUGUAUGUACCAUAUGAAUAAGGAUCGGCUCACUCCGUGCGAGCAGCCGCGGUAAUACGGAGGAUCCGAGCGUUAUCCGGAUUUAUGGGGGUUAAAGGGAGCGUAGGUGGCUUGUUAAGUCAGUUGUGAAAGUUUGCGGCUCAACCGGAAAAUUGCAGUUGAAACUUGCAGUCUUGAGUACCGUAGAGGUUGGUGGAAUUCGUGGUGUAGCGGUGAAAUGCUUAGAUAUCACGAAGAACUCCGAUUGCGAAGGCAGCUCACUGGACUGCAACUGACGCUGAUGCUCGAAAGUGUGGGUAUCAAACAGGAUUAGAUACCCGUGUAGUC
RNAcentral lists this ribosomal RNA (460 nucleotides) under uncultured bacterium. RNAcentral describes it as "partial 16S ribosomal RNA". It matches the Rfam family "Bacterial small subunit ribosomal RNA", at positions 338 to 795 of the family's 1533-position model. The record is from RNAcentral.